GACAGGACCUGGGGGGGGGGGACCUGGAGCUCCCCUCGGGCUGUGGAAAGCCCUUGCGCUGGGCCAGCGUCCCUCUUCUCACUGGCUUGUGGCUCUGGAAGCCAUGUCACCACACCAAGCCCGCUUUCUCAUCUGCAAAGUGGGAACAGCACUUAUGCCCUCCCUGGCCAUACUGUGAUCGAAGGAGCUAGGGGGCUCUGGUUUCUAGCACAGAGCCUGGUGGACCUGUGGCUGACCCAAGGGCCUGGCUGGUCCGUGUCUCUGUCUGAGGUACACGUCUGUAGUCCAAGCUCCAGAGCUGAAUGGCCACAACCUGAGUGCACAGCGAGUCUCCUUCAGCUUUGCUGGGUGUGGGUGCCCAAGGGAUGCAGGGGCCAGGGGGCUAGGGUUGGGGUUCAGGGUGCGUGCCUAGAGGUGACUGAUACACAAGGCACUCUCCCCUGGGCACCAGGGAGCUGGUGUCCUGGCUCCCACCCCCACUGCCAACAGCCUUGGGACCCACCACUUGGCAGAGCCGGCUUGGUGAGGCUGCGCCCCGUUGGCUGCUCCUCCAGCCUCUGCUGGGCUCAGAUAGCGGGCUCACUGCACGAUGUGAUCACCGCGGGCGUGGUGAGGCUGCCGGGCCAUGGGCUGGCACCACCGAUGCAGACGCACGGGGUGACUGACGUCAGGACUCAUUUUCUCCAUGACUGGGGACAGGCCUGCAGUGCUGAGCUGUGCAUGUCAAUGAGGUGGCGCUCCGGCUUCCAACGCCAGGGACUCCAUCUUCUGUCCUGCCAGCCUCUUGUGCUGGGGGGCUGGACCACCACCCCAGGCCCCCCGAGCCCCCUCUCAGGCCCAAGCUACAAGCACAGAGGCCAGAGGUCCUCCAGCACUUGCAAUGUGGGUCCUUCCCAUGCAGGCAGCCCCUGUGCCCGUGCCCCCAACCUGGUGUGCAAGAACCUCAGCCCUGGGUGCCCCGGUAUGUACACGCUGCCAGUCCCGACAGUACCAAAUGUAGGAGCUCGUGACUGUGGACACACCGGCCUCUCCUGCAGGGGCCUGCGAUUUUGGGAGACCCCCACUCCCACGAAAGGCCCAGCCAGCCCUUGA
Molecule: long non-coding RNA, 1092 nt
Filed under: Canis lupus dingo (dingo)
Lineage: Eukaryota; Metazoa; Chordata; Mammalia; Carnivora; Canidae
Description: lncRNA (ENSCAFG00020020745.1)
Source: RNAcentral